This 468-nucleotide ribosomal RNA is filed under the name uncultured bacterium. RNAcentral describes it as "partial 16S ribosomal RNA". It matches the Rfam family "Bacterial small subunit ribosomal RNA", at positions 28 to 507 of the family's 1533-position model. The record is from RNAcentral.
GACGAACGCUGGCGGCGUGCUUAACACAUGCAAGUCGAACGGAAAGGCCCUGCUUUUGUGGGGUGCUCGAGUGGCGAACGGGUGAGUAACACGUGAGUAACCUGCCCUUGACUUUGGGAUAACUUCAGGAAACUGGGGCUAAUACCGGAUAGGAGCUCCUGCUGCAUGGUGGGGGUUGGAAAGUUUCGGCGGUUGGGGAUGGACUCGCGGCUUAUCAGCUUGUUGGCGGGGUAGUGGCUUACCAAGGCUUUGACGGGUAGCCGGCCUGAGAGGGUGACCGGCCACAUUGGGACUGAGAUACGGCCCAGACUCCUACGGGAGGCAGCAGUGGGGAAUAAUGCACAAUGGGCGGAAGCCUGAUGCAGCAACGCCGCGUGCGGGAUGACGGCCUUCGGGUUGUAAACCGCUUUCGCCUGUGACGAAGCGUGAGUGACGGUAAUGGGUAAAGAAGCACCGGCUAACUACGUG